AGAGUUGAUCAUGGCUCAGGAUGAACGCUAGCGGCAGGCUUAACACAUGCAAGUCGAGGGGCAGCGGGAUGUAGCAAUACAUUGCCGGCGACCGGCGGAUGGGUGCGUAACGCGUAUGCAACCUACCUUAUACAGGGGAAUAACCUUUCGAAAGGGAGACUAACACCCCAUAGUAUUGAUUUAAGGCAUCUUAGAUUAAUUAAAUAUUUAUAGGUAUAAGAUGGGCAUGCGUAUGAUUAGCUAGUUGGUAAGGUAACGGCUUACCAAGGCGACGAUCAUUAGGGGUUCUGAGAGGAAGGUCCCCCACACUGGUACUGAGACACGGACCAGACUCCUACGGGAGGCAGCAGUGAGGAAUAUUGGUCAAUGGGCGCAAGCCUGAACCAGCCAUGCCGCGUGCAAGGAAGACGGCCUUAUGGGUUGUAAACUGCUUUUACAUAAGACUAACCGUAUAUUUGCGAAUAUACCUGAAUGUAUUAUGAGAAUAAGGAUCGGCUAACUCCGUGCCAGCCGCCGC
Molecule: ribosomal RNA, 517 nt
Filed under: uncultured bacterium
Lineage: Bacteria
Description: bacterial SSU rRNA
Rfam family: Bacterial small subunit ribosomal RNA
Source: RNAcentral